This 429-nucleotide ribosomal RNA is filed under the name Pseudomonadota bacterium. RNAcentral describes it as "Proteobacteria bacterium partial 16S ribosomal RNA". It matches the Rfam family "Bacterial small subunit ribosomal RNA", at positions 355 to 776 of the family's 1533-position model. The record is from RNAcentral. Lineage: Bacteria; Pseudomonadati; Pseudomonadota.
UGGGGAAUAUUGGACAAUGGGCGAAAGCCUGAUCCAGCCAUGCCGCGUGUGUGAAGAAGGUCUUCGGAUUGUAAAGCACUUUAAGUUGGGAGGAAGGGCAGUAAGCGAAUACCUUGCUGUUUUGACGUUACCGACAGACUAAGCACCGGCUAACUCUGUGCCAGCAGCCGCGGUAAUACAGAGGGUGCAAGCGUUAAUCGGAAUUACUGGGCGUAAAGCGCGCGUAGGUGGUUCGUUAAGUUGAAUGUGAAAGCCCCGGGCUCAACCUGGGAAGUGCAUCCAAAACUGGCGAGCUAGAGUAGGGCAGAGGGUGGUGGAAGUUCCUGUGUAGCGGUGAAAUGCGUAGGUAUAGGAAGGAACACCAGUGGCGAAGGCGACCACCUGGGCUCAUACUGACACUGGGGUGCGAAAGCGUGGGGAGCAAACAGG